CAAAUUAUGAGUAAGAAAGGCUUUCAAUCUCUGUCUUAAGAGAUACAGUAUCGUCAUAGGUUUUAGUCAUUGUUCUAGUUAGGCUGGCUAGUGUUAGCACCUUAGGUAUUCUUAUGAGUCAAAUGAAGUAUUUUAUUGUGAAGAUCAAUUGGAUUUUAUAUAUCAAAGUGCUUUAUAGGUAUUCUACAUGUAGAUAUUAAGCAAGAUUUUAGUCCUUUUUCUGCCAGCUUUUUAACUCUAGGCUGGUGACUUCAUUUCCUGAGCUUUUAUUUAUAGGUAAGUACCAUUUACAUUGAGUUCAGCUCUUACAAAUUAUGAACAUUAUUAUUUUUACUUUUUUCUUUCAUCUGCUUACCUUCACCAUUCCCCUUGUUAUUAUUAUCCAUUAAUCCUCACCUAUUUUAUUUCAUUUGGUAAUUACUAUCAAUUUUGUAAGGGCCGGUAAUAUUAGCCUCAUUUUACUGAUAAGGAAAACUGAGACUAAGGGAGUUGCACAGUUGAUUACUGCUAGAGGUAGGAUUCCAAUUCAGGUUUCUGGUGCCAAGGUUCUUUUUUUGAAAAGCAUGUGGCUGAAGUAAAGACAUGUACCUCAGUUAAAGAAAACUUUUGUUUUCUGUUGUUUUCCCUUUGCUUUUUGAAAUAUCUUUGGACUAUCUGAAAUAUGUAGGUCAAGUAAGGAUUAAGACAAACACAUCCAGAAAUAUUCAUUUUUGUCUAGAGUUCACUUAUGAGUGCUAUGCUUUACUAUUUCCUAUUGAAAACUUCAGACACCCCCUUGUCCAGGCAUGCCAGCCCUAGAUAUUGACCUUACUUAGAACACCAUUGCUUUUGGUGUGAUUGACAGUGCUGAUUUAGGCAGGACUCUGAUGCUGAUCCUUUCUGAUUUAAAAACUUCUGUAUUG
Molecule: long non-coding RNA, 902 nt
Filed under: Marmota monax (woodchuck)
Lineage: Eukaryota; Metazoa; Chordata; Mammalia; Rodentia; Sciuridae
Source: RNAcentral